GAAUAUCUUUGGCCUGUAGUGCAAAGAUGAAUGAUUUCUUGAUGAAUAUCUUUGGCCCGUAGUGCAAAGAUGAACAGAUGUUGAGAUGAACAUGACCGACUGAUUAAUAUCUUUGGCCCGUAGUGCAAAGAUGAAUAUUUGAUUCCAGAUAUAUAUUGAUUGAUGUUACAGGGAUAAAAUAUCGACGAUGAACUUUUAAAUUCAUAUAUAGAAGAUAGUAGUUUGCAUUCUCUACUUAACUCUUCUAAUGAAUUGUUGUUUCCGCUGCAGUUGUUGAUUUAAAACUGGUUGUCUAUUGUAUUCUAUUAGAUUUUUCCCUGUUGGAGACUAACGAUAAUUUGUUGUAUAUUAUCUUAGUCAUAAUAUUCUUUACUGGGCUAGUUGAGCUCACCC
RNAcentral lists this long non-coding RNA (393 nucleotides) under Panax ginseng (ginseng). RNAcentral's name for it is "long non-coding RNA (PGIN_LNC006057)". Lineage: Eukaryota; Viridiplantae; Streptophyta; Magnoliopsida; Apiales; Araliaceae. The record is from RNAcentral.